Pongo abelii (Sumatran orangutan) is the source of this 104-nucleotide non-coding RNA. Lineage: Eukaryota; Metazoa; Chordata; Mammalia; Primates; Hominidae. The record is from Rfam.
AUCCUUUUGUAGUUUAUGAGCAAGAUGAUUGAGUGUUCACACACGGGUGUGAGAUGUGCCACCCUCAAACCUUGUUACGACUUCGGCUUAUUACCCAACUAACC